RNA transcript from Callorhinchus milii (elephant shark), 1717 nucleotides. It is a transcript of the gene named KH domain-containing, RNA-binding, signal transduction-associated protein 3, with no coding region annotated. The record is from RefSeq and is a predicted model, not a curated record. The transcript has 12 exons. NCBI's taxonomy places the organism in Eukaryota, Metazoa, Chordata, Chondrichthyes, Chimaeriformes, Callorhinchidae.
ACGUGGGGGUGGUGGUGGGGGGAGGGGGUGGAUUGUUGUUGCUGUUUUGUAUUUAACCUCGAAAAGCGAAAAGGAAAGGGGGGGAAAAAAAACCCCAAAGGGCAAAGGACGACAGAGGGCAGCGUCUCCUCUGACGCUUUAUAUAUAUAUAUAUAUAUAUAUAUAUAAACACUUACAUAUAUAUAUAUAUAUACACACACACGUAUAGAAGUAAGUGGCUGCAAAUAAUACCAGGGCACAGCAGUGAAGUGCUGGAGAGGCGGUGGGGGGGGAUGGAGAGUGAGAAGUACUUGCCUGAGCUAAUGGCCGAGAAAGACAGUCUGGAUCCUUCCUUUGUCCAUGCUGCCCGCCUGGUGAGCGCAGGUGACAAUAAUAGUGCGGCAUUGGCACGAAGAAAGAUGCAUCCGAAAUUGCCAUCCUCUGCAGGAAGGCUGUUGACUUCUGCGUUGGGAGCAUUGCCAUCUACAGAUUCAACCCAGAGAGAGAUAACCAAAAUGGAAGGAGGAGAGGAAAUAGAUGAAGAGAAGUUUGUCGAUGUGGUCAGCAACAAAAACAUGAAGUUAUCUCAGAAAGUGUUAAUUCCCGUGAAACAGUUUCCCAAGUUCAACUUUGUGGGAAAACUCUUGGGCCCACGUGGGAACUCUUUGAAGAGGUUACAGGAGGAAACGCUGACAAAAAUGUCCAUCUUGGGGAAAGGCUCCAUGAGGGACAAAGCAAAGGAAGAGGAGCUGAGGAAGGGUGGAGAAACCAAGUAUACACACCUGAAUGAAGACCUACACGUUCUGAUUGAGGUGUUUGCCCCACCGUCAGAGGCCUACGCGAGGAUGGGACAUGCUCUGGAGGAAGUCAAAAAGUUUCUCAUCCCGGAUUACAAUGAUGAAAUUCGACAACAGCAACUUCAGGAAUUGUCUUACCUGAACGGCGCCCCGGAAACUCCCGAAACUCCAGCUGUGCGAGGGAAACCAGUGCGGGGCCGCGGAGCUCUCACACCAGCUCUAACAAGGGGCCGCGGAGGUGUCCCACCCCCCACGGCUGCUGUCCCACGAGGGGGACCAGCCCCCAGAGGAGCGCUGGCCGGUCGGGGUCUUGUCGUCAGGGGCCGUGGGGCCCCAGCACCUAGAGCAAGAGGAGCGCCAGGAUACAGACCUCCACCCCCUCCCGCUCAGGACACCACCUAUGGGGAAUAUGCCUAUGGUGAUGGCUAUGGAGCCACCUAUGAAGAGCACGGUUACGACACCUAUGAAAACAACUACAGUAACCAAGGACAGAGUGCCUCUGAUUAUUACGAUUAUGCUCACGGAACAAGUCAGGAGUCGUACGAUUCAUAUGGUCAGGAAGAGUGGACGAACUCCAACAUCCAACGGAUGAAAGCCCCCCCGACACGAGCAGCGAAAGGAGCUUUCAGGGAACACCCUUAUGUACCCCGUUACUGACCCCAGCAGCCACUUUGUGAAAUACAGUCAUCAGUUAGCUGUUCCUACAGUGAUGAAUGUCCCGACGUGUCUGGGGAGAGAGGGGAGUGAAGUCAGUGGCCCUGAGGUUGGGCGGAAACAGCAGGAGGACUGAGGUGGCCGGGGUUGAAGGGAAGCUGUGGUUGUACUGUGGCUGGUCACAGGAGCCGGGUCAACACGGCAAAGGCUCGAUCAAGGUCCGACUCCCGGGUGGACUGGAUGCUUUAUCAUUUGUAAAAUCACCGCUCAAUUGUAAAUAUUUUUUU